GUCGAGGUGGCGGAUGGCGACCGCCGCAGCGUUGCUGUCGCUGUAGCCGCUGGCGUCGUUGGCGGCGGCGCGCUCGGCG
Molecule: transfer RNA, 79 nt
Filed under: Duganella sp. HH101
Lineage: Bacteria; Pseudomonadati; Pseudomonadota; Betaproteobacteria; Burkholderiales; Oxalobacteraceae
Description: tRNA-Ser
Source: RNAcentral